UCAGGAUGAACGACUGGCGGCGUGCCUAAUACAUGCAAGUCGAGCGAGAAAUCUUUCAGACAAAUCUUCGGAAGCGUCAGAGAGAUGGAAAGCGGCGGACGGGUGAGUAACGCGUAGGCAACCUGCCCUUAGCAGAGGGAUAGCCAUUGGAAACGAUGAUUAAAACCUCAUAAUGCUGGAGAAGCACAUGCUUCAUCAGCCAAAGAUUUAUCGGCUAAGGAUGGGCCUGCGUCUGAUUAACUAGUUGGUGAGGUAACGGCUCACCAAGGUGACGAUCAGUAGCCGACCUGAGAGGGUGAUCGGCCACAUUGGAACUGAGACACGGUCCAAACUUCUACGGAAGGCAGCAGUAAGGAAUCUUGCACAAUGGGGGAAACCCUGAAUGCAGCAACGCCGCGUGAACGAUGAAGGCCUUAGGGUUGUAAAGUUCUGAUCUGUGGGAAGAAGAAAGUGACGGUACCACAGGAGAAAGCCCCGGCUAAAUACGUGCCAGCCGCGGC
RNAcentral lists this ribosomal RNA (500 nucleotides) under uncultured bacterium. RNAcentral's name for it is "bacterial SSU rRNA". It matches the Rfam family "Bacterial small subunit ribosomal RNA", at positions 24 to 518 of the family's 1533-position model. The record is from RNAcentral.